CUCUGACCUCACAAAGGCCUGCUUCAGAACUCAGUCUCCACUGCACUGCUGGCCAGACGAGGGAUGUUAUUUUGGGCAGUGCAUCUGGACUUGGUUCAAGUGGCACCAGCCAAAUCCCUGCCUUACUGACCUCUCCCCUGGAGGAGCAGGAGCAGCGCUCAAGGCCGCCUUGGGAGGGCUGAGAGGCAGGCUCUGGACUGGGGACACAGGGAUAGCUGAGCCCCAGCUGGGGGUGGAAGCUGAGCCAGAGACAGUCACAGAGGAACAAGAUCAAGAUGCGCUUUAACUGAGAAGCCCCCAAGGCAGAGGCUGAGAAUCAGAAGACAUUUCAGCAGACAUCUACAAAUCUGAAGGACAAAACAUGGUUCAAGCAUCUGGGCACAGGCGGCUGGAUUGUACCAGUGUCCUUUACUGCAGUGACUGAACAUUCUAGGCACAGUAGAUUCAAGAAAUCUUGAGUUCAUUGGCUGAACAUACAUAUGAUAGUUGAGAAAGACACAUAUUCUGAUCAUGAAGAAAUAAACACAAGUUAAAUAUGACUAAGCAGAAAGAUGGAAGGACCAGGAACGGUGAUGCUAACUUGGAACCACGAUGCAGGCUCUAAACUCCUCUACAAUCAUCCCCCCUUGUGAGAAAAAUACGGCUGCCGCAGUUUGCUGGGGGUCCACUCCAGACCCUAUUCACUUGGUCCCUCCCCUACCUGGAGGUGUCACCAGUGGAAGCUGCAGAACAGCAAGGAUGGCUGCCUGCUCCUUCUUUUUUGAGCUCCAUCCCAGAGGGGCACUGAUGUGAUGCCAGCAGGAACACUCCUGUAUAAGGUGCCUGGAGACCCCUGUUGGUGGUCUCAAUCAGUUAGGGAGUAUGUACAGGAUCGGGGACCACUUAACAAAGCACUCUGGCUGCCCCUUGGCAGAGAGGGUGCACUGCACUGGAGGGAAUCUCCCUUGUCCAGAAUGUCCAGACCCUUCAGAGCCAGCAGGCAGGAAAGACUAAGUCUGCUGAACCGCAGAGACUGUGGCUGUCCCUCCCCACAGGAGUUCUGCCCAGGAAGAUCAGAGUUCUGUCCAUAAACCUCUGGCUGGAGUUGGUGAAAUUCCCACAAGGGGGCCCCACCCAAUGAGUAGGGAUGGAUCCAGGUUCCACCUAAAAAAGCAGUCUGGCCAUGAUCUGCCACAGCUGCUGUGCUCCCGGUCUAAACCUCCCUGUCUCCCCAGCACCACCAGGGGAAAACAGCCAACUGAUGCCACAGUGAUAGCAACCACCCCUUCCCCUGGGAACUCAGUCAUCUUAGACAGUCUCCAGUCUGCUGUCACUGGCCACAGCCUGAGCGGUGAUGAGAGUCUGCACAGCUCUGUGCUUGGCACCCAAGGCCCUGGUGGUGUGGACUCACAAGGGGAUCUCUUGAUCUGUGAGUUGCACAGAUCCAUGGAAAAAGCAUGGUUCCUCAGGAAAGGGAGCACAAUCACUCACUGCCUCCCUUGACUGGGGGUGGGAGUGCCCCUUGCCCCAUGCAGCUCCCAAGUGAGGCAUUGCUCCACCCUGCUUUUCCUUGCUCCCUGUGGGUCAGGCCAAUCACCUUGUCACUCCCAGUGAGAGAAUCUGGAUACCUCAGAUGAAGGUGCAGAAUUCACUCGCCAUUUUUGUUCUUCUAGAUGGGAGUCACAGACCACAGCUGCUUCUAAUUGGCCAUCUUGGCACCUCCUCAUUUAACCUUCUUUUCUCAUCUAAAGGGGAUAAAGGAUGAAACUGUCCCAAAGAAAAGUUUAUAAACCAAUUAAGGGAGAAAAUAAAAUUCAACUAGGCUUGCAGAAUAAUCAGUGGCAAUCAUGAAAUCCACUUCCCAAUUUGGCCUACUUCCUUGUAGCUAGUUACUUCUUACUCCCCCAAGAUAGUGUAGCCCUUGUCACAAGAAUGUGUUCCUUUUCUUUUCUAUAGAUAAGAUCUAAGGCACAUGAGAUGAUAUGCUUUCUGUUUGAGUUUCUCCUUUAUGUUACGCAUACUGAUAAAAUUGUUGAUGCCAGUUGAUCUGAAGGUCCCAGCAAGGAGCCGACUCACAGAAGAAUGCAGUUUUCACAUCAUGAUGAUUUAAUCUUCCUUGACCUGAGCAAUUGACAACCCCAAUUCUCCAGAACCUCACCCGCCACAAUCCCCUUAAAAACCCUGGCCCAGAACCCCUCAAGCAGACAGAUGUGAAGCUUGAGGAUUCCUUCAUCUCUUUGCCCAAUGGCAUUGUGAUUAUUAAACUCUUUUUCUGCUGCAAAUUA
Molecule: long non-coding RNA, 2264 nt
Organism: Homo sapiens (human)
Lineage: Eukaryota; Metazoa; Chordata; Mammalia; Primates; Hominidae
Exons: 5
Source: RefSeq, a predicted model, not a curated record